Long non-coding RNA from Felis catus (domestic cat), 3823 nucleotides. RefSeq lists it as uncharacterized. NCBI's taxonomy places the organism in Eukaryota, Metazoa, Chordata, Mammalia, Carnivora, Felidae. The transcript is spliced from 3 exons. The record is from RefSeq and is a predicted model, not a curated record.
UGACACGGAGACAGGAAGUGAGCAGAUGCACUGGGAAAACGGCCCCCAGAGACUUGCUGCCACGAACCUUCCAUCCGUGGGAGAUCACUAUCCACAAUGCGCACGACAGGCCUGCGAAUUCACCUCCACGAGGCCAUCAGGAGGGGCGCAGAGGCUGGCAGUGACGAGGAGGCCCUGGCGGCGGGUCACACGCCGUCCCCCGCAGCCCUCGGUACAUCUCUGCAGGGCCCGUGCGCACACUCGAUUUGACAAGUGGCAAUCGGGCGCCCACUACGAGCGGCACCGAGGCGGCGGGAGGGUCGCUGCCGGAGUCGGCGGGGACAGACCCAGGGCAGGCCCCCCGGGCAGAGGCGGCCCCUCUCGGGUAAAGCUCCCGGCCCUGGGAAGGCCGGACCAUUUACUUUGUCCAGGUUCUAGGACAGGCUGUUUUUCACAGACACCGGAUUAUUCUUGGCAUCGAAGUCAAGCUUCUCUGUCAACGGCCAAAGCCCACGGGGUGCUCGGCUCCACGGGCGAACCCCGGCCGUGCCCAACCCCGCAUUCUGGGCUCCGGGACGGCCCUGGCCUCAACGUCAGCUUACUCCGUCCAGGAGAGCAACCUCUCCAAUGGAUUUAAGGCUUUUUAUAAAGGAAAUGCAGAACAGGCCCCUGUGUUUUGCCAUUUGAAUAAGGAAACGUUGCCCCCACGCCGUCGCCUCGGCGUCCCCUGGAAAGGUCGUCCGGGUGCGCACGGCUCAGCCUGGGGCACGGAGACCCAGCACUCAGUUCUCGUGGGGAAGUUCCCACGCUGGAGACGCACCUGCCCGACAUACAGCCAAGGCCACCCCCACCUUGCCCAGGUGACGGGGCUUCACGGGGCACCACACAGGCCUAGGAACCGCCUCUGUCUACGAAAAUUUGGAAAAUACAGAAGAGUGUAAGGAAGAAAAAUAAUCCCCCAGGCUCUCGCCACCUGUUACCAUCUCCAUGUGCCAUCUUCUGGUUCUUUCUGCCCAUCUGUCUAUUUACCUAGCUACGUUCCACCUUGCGUCGUCUGGAUUUUAAGAGUCUGUCGAUCAUAGGACACGCCGCUAAUCCGGCCACUUUUUAGGAAAGAAAGGAAAAAGAUCACGUCUCUUGGUAUCAGUCUCCCGUUUAGAAACAUCCCAAAUGUGGGGAAAGGAGGUACCUUGGAAUCAAGCAAACAACAAAGAUUUGAGAUCCUACUGAUGGCACAAUUGCAACCUACAUUUCCCCCCUUCUGCCACAUCAUCAGAAACUUUGUAAACACUAUUUUCAUAGGAUGCAACUGAAGGCCAGGAAACAGCAGGAACAUCAAAGGAGCAAGCGUAGGCGGGAAAAAGAACAAGGUCAAAGAGAAGGCGGAGACUGAGAGCCUCAAGGGCCCCGGGGACCCCCAAGUUUGGAGGCUGCCGAGACGACCACGGGAGACGGAGAAGGGGCUGUGAGGUGCAGAGAAAACCAGGACGGGAGGUGUUCCGGGGGAAGAUAGUGUUUCAAGGGGGAGGGAGCGGGGACGGCGUCCAACGCUACCGAACGUUCCAGAAGACGGAGACAGAGACCUGACCGCUGGAUUUAGCAACCUGGAGGUGCCGGCGAUCCCGACAAGCACAAUUCAGGUGAGUGAUGGAGGCAGAGGCCGGUGGGUUCGAGGGGAGGUGAGAGAAGAGGGGUGGGUGACCGCCAACCCGCAUACUUCCUGCGGGAGCUGAGAGAGAGGGCCGUGGCGCGGGGAAUGGUGCAGGACGGAGACAGGCUAGUUUUAAAAGGCGGGGGACGAUUUCAGCAGGUACACGCACCACUGGGAAUGAGCCAGUCGACACAGAAACCUUGGUGAUGUCAGAAAAGGGCGGGAACUCUUCUGGUAUUUUCCUGAUCUCCAGAGCAUACUGGUAUCGUUUGUUCCUAGUUCACCAGCAUUGGCCCUUGACUUUCUGCUAGGCUAGGUGGGAUUAGCUUACUGACAUCACCCCUCGUCUUCCUGCCGUCCCCUCCAAAAUUAUCCCAGGAGAUCACUACUGCCCCACUGUCCCUAUAACUCUAGCUCAGUUCAUCGACUGAUCACCUUGGCAACCUUUAUGAUCACCUUGGUAACCUUUAUUUCUCGGUCUGCCAACUACAGACAGCAUCUCGCUUUAUAGGAGUAGGGCAUUCACACCCUCUACCCUACCCCCCUCGCCAAUGCUUAACGACGACAACAAAACCUCAGCGACUCAUGCUUCUCACUCACACGACACGGGGUGCCCGGCCUCUGAUGUCCUCUUUAUUCUGGGAGGCAGACUGCCGAGCAGACCCCACCGGCCAUUCUCACGGGAGAAAGAGAAGAACGAUGCCAGAAAUUCACAACGCCUCUCUAAGUGUCUGCUCGGUCACCGCCACUCGCAUUCAACUGGCUGAAGCCAGUCACACGGCCAAGCCCGUUAUCAGUGGGCAGGGAAGGAAGUACUCCCCUCCCACAGGAAGCAUGACAAGCCAUAUGGCAUCAGGUGGGUAAGUGCCAUCCUCUUUCAGGGAGGACACUGAAGAAUCGGGAACGAUAAUUUAAUCUACCACAAUCCACUUGCCAAGUUCUACGAGCUAUGGUUUUCAUUUUACGUCGCCGGAUGGAACAUCUUUACAUCUUCCGUUAUAGCUGUUAUUAAGCAGUCUUCGGGGCUGUCUGUGGUUGCGUUGAAGAGUUGAAAACUACCGAGCAGCAUGUAUAUUAUUAUGACUAAGCAAGUGUUCUUUGCUGCAGAGUCAAAGAGGAGCUGAGAGCCCAUAGUGUGGGCCACUGUUCCAAUGAGCCAGGCCCUACGCACUUAAAAGAGCCUUUCUUAUAUUUCACCAUCUGCUCAGUAUCAGGCCACAUUUUGAUUUGUUUCCUGAGUUAUGCCUUUCAUGAAAAACGUUUGGUUUUUCUGAAGUCGCUGAUUACGUCUCUUUUUUCUAUUGUUGGUAGAGGAAACGUGUGCUGCACUGUAUCCCCACUCCCCUCCAAAUUCUGUCUCACUCCAUUUAUCAUGUGGAAUAUUUUUCUUCUUCUUUUUCGAAGCCUGCUGACCUCCUGAUCUAACUGGGUGGUCUGCUUCAUUUUUGGAACCUGACGCUUUUGCACAGCUUUCUGUCUUUACUGCAGUUACUGAUUGCUUUCUGUUUUUUAACAAAGCUUUUAUUUCUGGCAGUCCCAAUAACACUCUUAACUCUAUGGAAUGUCCCCUUCUCACCUCAUCCUCAGAAAACUCUUCCCCGGCGCCUUCAUCCUCCCCCUCUAAAGAAGACUGACUGCUCUCAGACCCGCUGAACAAUUUCUCCUCCGAUGUUCAUGGCUGCCCUGAAUUGGAUCCAUUGUUUCCUGGAUCUCAUAUCUUCUCUCUUGGUUUACUCUCUGGUUUUGCUGAAAUACGUACUCAAAUAACUUCCUUAAGAAGGCUGAAUAGGAUGUAAACUUCCUUGGUUCUUGAAUCCUCAGGACUGCCACACUUAUAUAUAAAAUAAAGGCAUCGGACCGGACGAUCUCUAGUCCCUAUUCCAGGAGUAUGCUUCUAAGUCCAUAUUCAUUCGUAAAUAGCAUAGCAUAUUCAUAGCAUAAUUAGCAUAAAUAUCAAGGAGAAAUUUAAAAUGGUUGCUGCUUUCAAGGAACUCACGUUUAGAGUGGCAAAAAGUAAACUCUUAAAACAGCAACAAAAAGCCAAGUACAAAAGACGCCACACGAGAGGGCAAUAUUCGUCAUCGGUUUGAGCCUCGGGGCUACGGGGAAUUAAGACAGAAGCAAAGCCGGCCUGCGGUGCUCUUAUUAGGGAAGCAAGACUUCAGCUGAGUGUCAAAGAGUUAGGCAGGGUAU